Long non-coding RNA from Hyaena hyaena (striped hyena), 505 nucleotides. RefSeq lists it as uncharacterized. The transcript is spliced from 3 exons. NCBI's taxonomy places the organism in Eukaryota, Metazoa, Chordata, Mammalia, Carnivora, Hyaenidae. The record is from RefSeq and is a predicted model, not a curated record.
UACUGGCUACCGAACGAAGUCAAACACAUCAAAGACGGAGGGAUAUGUUCCCAAAGGGCACCGGGAAGCAGCGAAGGGUCUCUCGGGAGCGACGCGGCCUCCGGGCGGAAAACGAUGCUCCAGAAGAGAGGCAGCAAGGAGGAAGGUAGAGUUCACCUACUUGUGAUGUCACUGAGCGUCCCUACCAAUGGGAACACAGGAGAGCUCUGCAAGCUUCUGCUCUUGAAGAGGUUGGGAUGAGCUGCAGUAGAAAACAGAGUGUAAUCGAAGGAUGAAAGCUGUAACAGAAAGAUUCAAAGAAGUAAGAGAAAAGGAAUUCUCUGUUUCUGCAGCUCCCACCACUGUUGGCUGCAGUGUGUUUUACAGAAACCAAUCCAAGUGGAACCCAAGCAAAUACCAGUGGCCAGUGAGAGCCCAGUAACAGUCGUAGAGGAAACUGGGGAAACUGGGUAAAGAUGGCUAGCCUGAUCUCAGUGGUGGUGAGAAGGCUAACUUUAAUAGAAAU